Molecule: long non-coding RNA, 278 nt
Organism: Pistacia vera
Lineage: Eukaryota; Viridiplantae; Streptophyta; Magnoliopsida; Sapindales; Anacardiaceae
Exons: 4
Source: RefSeq, a predicted model, not a curated record
UGUGGUGGAAGAUGAGUAAUGAAGGUGGCCAUUACUGUUUGAAAAGAGUGAUGAAUUUGCUGUGAUGUUUGUGGCCAGGGUUAGAUUACGAAUAUAAAGCUAUGAACUUGGUGAAGGAAGAGCAAAACAGUCCUGAGUUUGGAAAGCUCAAUCCUCUUGGUUAUGUGCCGGUUGGUAGAUGAGAUGUUGUUCUUUCUGAUUCUUUUGCUAUUUUACUGUAUCUGGCAAAGAAGUAUCCUCAGCAUCCAUUGUUGCCUUCUGAUCUUAAGACAAAGCUA